UGGCGGACGGGUGAGUAAUGUCUGGGAAACUGCCCGAUGGAGGGGGAUAACUACUGAAACGGUAGCUAAUACCGCAUAACGUCGCAAGACCAAAGAGGGGGACCUUCGGGCCUCUUGCCAUCGGAUGUGCCCAGAUGGGAUUAGCUAGUAGGUGGGGUAACGGCUCACCUAGGCGACGAUCCCUAGCUGGUCUGAGAGGAUGACCAGCCACACUGGAACUGAGACACGGUCCAG
This 234-nucleotide ribosomal RNA is filed under the name uncultured bacterium. RNAcentral describes it as "partial 16S ribosomal RNA". It matches the Rfam family "Bacterial small subunit ribosomal RNA", at positions 96 to 334 of the family's 1533-position model. The record is from RNAcentral.